This 61-nucleotide transfer RNA is filed under the name Loxodonta africana (African savanna elephant). It matches the Rfam family "tRNA", at positions 7 to 64 of the family's 71-position model. Rfam says of the family: Transfer RNA (tRNA) molecules are approximately 80 nucleotides in length. Lineage: Eukaryota; Metazoa; Chordata; Mammalia; Proboscidea; Elephantidae. The record is from Rfam by way of RNAcentral.
GUGGUGAAAACGGUUAACACACUUGGCUAAUAACCAAAAGGUUGGAGGUUUGAGUCCACCC